RNAcentral lists this small nuclear RNA (23 nucleotides) under Arabidopsis thaliana (thale cress). RNAcentral's name for it is "snRNA_14669". The record is from RNAcentral. Lineage: Eukaryota; Viridiplantae; Streptophyta; Magnoliopsida; Brassicales; Brassicaceae.
AAACCAAUGAUAAUUAACUAUUU